CAGUCUUAAAGACUUUAUUUUCUGUUAUGUAAAAAUAACUUUAAUUUUGUAGGAGUAGGAACAGUUAUAGUCCUGGGAAAACUGCCCAGCUCCAUUCUAUUGACAGUUCUGCUUUUAACAUCUGGUUUUUACUACAAAUUACAAAAGAUUCUAAUCUAUUCUAUUCCUAUUUCUUAAUUGUUUUGUCCAACAUUAGACUUUGAUAAUCCACCUUGUUCAACUGUUUGUUCUUCGAACUAUGUUUAGUUUGAAAAUAAUAAAAAUACUCAUUUACAUACAGUAUAUUACAAGAAUACCAGCUGAGAUAAGUUAUAUCAGAAAAUGACAAAUGGUAAAACAUUAUUUCUGAAAAUAAAGAAUGAAAAAAGGCUAAAUGGAGUAAAGAAAUUGAUUUGUAAAUUAAAAGUCAGUAUCUAAAAAAAGGAUUGAUACAAUUUCAUAAUGUAUGCAUUGAUGAAAAUACAAUACUGUUAAAUUUUAAAAUAAAGCAAUUAGUUAAAUAAAACAUGUAUAUUUGUAAAUUUAGGUAACAAAUCUAUAAUUAUUUAUUAGGAUUACAAGCAUUUGAUCUGAAUUAUAAAAUAAUUUGAUAAUUUAUUUGUUCUGAAUUUUGCAAAGUUAAGCCUAAAAAAUAAAUCAUUGUUAUCAAAUCUUAAGUCGGUGGUCUCUGUUGUACCAGUUGUACCGGGUUACAGUAUUACUAGAAAUGUAACUAAUACAAUGUUUAAGACCACAGACCACAAUCAAAUUGUGGUCUGUGGUCUGUUCGAAGUUCAAAAAAAGGUGAAUCACAUGUGAAAAAAUGACAUUUCUGACAACUCUGUCAUGUAAUUCCUCCAAAGUUCAACUCAAAAGAAUGAAGUCUUCUGCAAGAAGAAUGUUCAUUGGGAAAUACAUCUGAGGUGCAUGAUGUUUUGUAGUAGUCAUGUAACAUGUUUUUUAUGUGUUUGCUGUCUAAUGUAAUAUUCUGUGACAGAAAUGAGCUUAACCAAUGGUAACUCAUACACUGUAGAGUUAGUAAAUAGUCCUAUAAUUUUUUUGUUUAUAGCAUUUUUUAUAUGGGUCAGCAACAAAAAGUUUUGUGUUUUGUAAAUGUCUAUCAAAUGUGUCUUUAGAAAAAAAAAUUAAGAGAAAAUGAUUAACUUUAAGCGUCUAUAGUUUUAUUUUCAAUUGGUUUAAUAAACUUUUAAAUGAUAUUUUAAUAGAUAACAUUAAAAUGAAUCUGCAAUUUCUUGUUUGUUUGAUGGAAAGUGGAGAGAAUAAACAUAAUGAUUUUGCAAAUGAAUUGCAUAUACCUAAAUCAACUUUUGAAAAGGAUGAAGUCAAUGUUCUUCCACUAGAACCAUUACAUUAUGGUGAUACCAGAUACUAUAGAAAAAAUUCUUUUUAUAUGCACUAUCCAAAAGAAAUUUUUGAAAUUGAAAUGACAGUUUAAGACGAUCAAUUUGUAAAUGAAAAUACUGCUCUCUUUGAAUGUUAUCCUGGUUUUGAUAAAAAUGGAAACUAUUUGUUUAAUAUUCCAAGUUUUUCAUCUGGUAAAUAUGAAAAACAACCAUUUAUGGGUGCACUAUGUCAUCCAGAGAAGAUUACAUCAAAGAGCACUUUAGAUCUGCCAUUAGAUAUUCCAGAGUUAAAAGAAAAAUAUUUUAAUGAAAAAACAAGAGAGAGAAAAAGUUAGGAAAUAAUAUCGCAGAAGGAAUGAAAAAAAUGAAUUUAGGUUUGGGUAGAGGGUGUACGAUGGAGACGAAAAGUAAAGUGUUGCCCGUCGGCCAGCUGAAGGAGGACUCUGACCAUUCGGACACCGAAAAUAACGAAAUAACCGUGGAAGAAAACGAAAGGGAAAUAUUUUCGGCGGAAGAGGAGAAACCGACACGAACGGAAGAAGGCGACGAUGGAGAUCUCAUUCCUCAGUUUACCCUAAACAGUUAUUUGUCUCUGAAAACCGAAAAUUGAAACUAUUCGACUAAUGGCCCUGAUGCCGUGUUAAAUGUUUUCCUCUUCGUCCGUCUGUAAAACCGGCGAAAGGAGGAGGAGGAGACCCGCCGUUUUUUUAAUGGGUAAAAUUUACCGCUUUACUAGCAAGGACCCCUCGCUCGUCGGCGGGAGCAGAUGUUUCCUAUAAAUUAUAAUUUCCGGAGAAACGUACGGUUUCUACGUUUCUCUCUUAUUUUAGGGGAAGACGACAAAUGAAUUUUCUGUUCGUCCGGAAAUCGUCAAAAUAAUUACUUCAGGAACGGUUUCCACCGCUGUUAUUAUUUGUGUCAUUUUUAUUUCCAUUAAUUAAUAAAAGUAUUUUAAAUAAAUUGGUUUUAUUAUGUAAAAUACGGUAUUAAUUAAUAUUAGGAGCGGUUCGGACUCGGUCAUGCCCAAACGGGAGUCGAUUCUACGCAAAAAGAAGCGUUUUAAUUUACGUAAUGAGUGCUAGAGAUGUUUGCCCCCCCUAUAUCGCCAGUAGAUUUAUAAU
Long non-coding RNA from Centruroides sculpturatus (bark scorpion), 2464 nucleotides. RefSeq lists it as uncharacterized. The transcript has 7 exons. The record is from RefSeq and is a predicted model, not a curated record. NCBI's taxonomy places the organism in Eukaryota, Metazoa, Arthropoda, Arachnida, Scorpiones, Buthidae.